UACGAAGGGUGCAAACGUUGCUCGGAAUCACUGGGCGUAAAGGGCGUGUAGGCGGGAAGGAUAGUCAGAUGUGAAAUCCCUGGGCUCAACCCAGGAACUGCAUUUGAAACUCCCUUUCUUGAGUGUCGGAGAGGAAAGCGGAAUUCCUGGUGUAGAGGUGAAAUUCGUAGAUAUCAGGAGGAACACCGGUGGCGAAGGCGGCUUUCUGGACGACAACUGACGCUGAGACGCGAAAGCGUGGGGAGCAAACAGG
This 253-nucleotide ribosomal RNA is filed under the name uncultured bacterium. RNAcentral's name for it is "partial 16S ribosomal RNA". It matches the Rfam family "Bacterial small subunit ribosomal RNA", at positions 524 to 776 of the family's 1533-position model. The record is from RNAcentral.